Long non-coding RNA from Loxodonta africana (African savanna elephant), 3008 nucleotides. RefSeq lists it as uncharacterized. The record is from RefSeq and is a predicted model, not a curated record. The transcript is spliced from 7 exons. NCBI's taxonomy places the organism in Eukaryota, Metazoa, Chordata, Mammalia, Proboscidea, Elephantidae.
GGUCGGGGCUCGGGGGAUGGCGCGGCGGGAAUGGCUAGCUCUCUCGCGGGACCUAGGGCACACGCCUGCGCAGACUACUGGGCGGAGAGGCCCUAGGCUGCUUUGUUGGCGAGAGGGCACAGUGCGGGGCGUAAGGUGGCUAGGUUGAGCUGGGGGGUGGGUACAGCGAGUGUAGUAGGGUUGGGCGUUUCCCGAUCCCCGAUCCAGCCCCUAGAUGUGCCCGCGAUAUUUUCCUUAUAUGAUCAGGCCCCGUUGUGGGCGGCGCUGCUUGCCCGGAGCCUGAGAGGAUUAUGAAAAUACUUCAGGUGACGUGGGGCGGGGAACCGGGUGCUGGAAAAUUAGGGUUGAGGGGCAGCCGAUUAGCCUAGAGAUGGUGUAGGUUUAGGGAGCCUUUGCCGCUGUAACUGUGAGCCCUGGUCGGUGAUGACGUGACCACUGCGCAAUCUGAGUUCUGGGAACCAGAUGAUGGAGCCUGUGCUGAGCACGGACUGAGACAGGGCGAGCAGGAGGUGCGGUGCGGUGUCGGGUAUCGUCCAUGUUUUCUGUGAGUCGUCAGGAAAUCCCUGCCCUAGAAUCCUGCUUUUUAAACGCCUUGGUGGUCUCUCCAAGUGUUUUUAUUUUUUUUAAUCCAACUUUUUUAUUAUGAAAACUUUCAAACAGGAAAGUGGGAAGACAUAUAUAGUUAACCACUCAUGCACUUUCCACAGAUAUUUUACAGUUCUUAACAUUUUGUUGUAUUUUUUUCUUAGGCCCAGAGAGCCUAAAGAACUUGCCAAGGCCUCACAUCUAGAAUAUUACUGAAUAAAAACUUUAAGCCCGUGACUCUCGGAAACCCAAGACCCACAUUCUCUUCAGGGCUUGCAGGAUGUGGAAUACAGUCACAGGGUGACCUUGUGUGAUGCAUUUUGUGAGAUUGUCUAUGUGCAAAAGGAGAACAACAUGGCCUAGCUGGGAGCUCCAGGCCAACUUCAAACAACACUCAGGCCUCACUGAAAGUGUCAGACCAGCUCCAGGAUGUCAGACUUCUUUUUUUUUUCUGAACAUUUAUAGUUCUUACCGGGGACUGAGCCAAGGUUGGAAAAAGUACACCUUCAGACUUCAUUGAGGAACUCCAGCUUGAGACACGCCGGGAUGUGGAUGGAGUCCAUGGUCAGAGAAGAUGGAUUAAAUGGAAACAAAACAGGAAACAUGUGCUUGAAGUCUAACAGCAGUUGCUGAGGGUCGUUCCGCUCUUGCAGUUGUGCCUGUGGGGAAGAAUAAGACCAUGUAAAAAUAAUUAGUACGCCUAAAAAGAGCCAGCUUAAAUGAAUUCACAAUGAUGAACUGGCACAUAUCAUGGCAAGACUCCUCUUAAGAUAACCAGGAAUGACAUCAGGACCAGGAGACAUGACCUCCCUACCCCUGAAGAUACCUUGUGGGGAGAAAAGCCCUGGUUUAGAGUUGUUGUCCAGCAGACGACUAUAAGAUUUCUGCUUUUUCUAGCAGUCUUUUAAAAUGUUUCCAUCUAAAGGUGAAGAGAAAAAUGCAUUUCAGGGCCCUGAUGGCACAGUGAUUAAGAGCUACGGCUGCUGGCCAAAUGACAGCAGUUUGAAUCCACCAGCUGCUCCUUGGAAACCCUAUGGGGCAGUUCUACUCUGUUCUAGAGGGUCACUAUGAGUUGGAAUGGACUUGACAGAAAUGGCAUAUUCCUAAAGGCGAAUAGAAUAAGUUGAUCAUCUCUCUGUUAACUGCAUUUGGUGCUGCAGAUCAGUAACAUGCUAGCAGCAAAUGAAGCGACACAGACUCUCCAAAAUCUGAGAGGUGGAGAUCAGAGAAGUUCGUUCUCUGUGUGGACAUAUUGCGUGGUGGAAGCAGCCGUGCAAAUGAUGCAAAGCAAUGCCAGCUGCAUCCUAGAGGUGCUGGACCAGAAGAAGGUGCAUCAUUUAAUUUGGAAAGCCUGACUUCCUUGUGCUGGUCUCCGUGGCCCAUGUCCAAAUGGGCACAUUCAUGAUGGAGGGUCAGGUCUCCCUGUGUGUGGAAGGGGGGACUUAUCUUUUUAUGGACUAGGAAUAUCUCUGCAGCCAGGUCAUAUUAGAGCUUUUUUGGGGGAAAGGAAAGGAAUAUUUAAAUUCCUCUAGGUUCAAAAACUGGACCAUGAAUAAAGAAGACUGAAAAAGAAUUGAUGCCUUUCAGUUACGGUGCUGGCGAAGAAUAUUGAAUAUACCACUGACUGCCAAAAGAACAAAUGUGUCUUGGAAGAAGUACAGCCAGAAUGCUCCUCAGACAUGAAGAUGGUGAGACUAUUUCUCACGUACUUUGGACGUGUUAUCAACAGGGACCAGUCUCUGGAGGACAUCAUGCUUGAUAAAGCUGAGAGUCAGUGAAAAAGAGGAGGAUUCUCAAUGAGAUGGACUGACACAAUGCUACAACAAUGGGAAGAAACACAGCAACCAAUGGUUGUAGGAACAGGCAGUGUUUCAUUGUGUUAUCCGUAGGGUCGCUAUGAGUCAGAACCAACUUGUUGGCAGUUAACAACAACAACAAAGGCUCUUAGUGACUUUCUUUGAAACAAUGUCAGCUGAAUAUAUGACCAUAAUGACAUUACAGUGGUAAAGAAAGCAAUUUUUUUUAAUGCCAAAUGCCUGAUGCUGCCAAUUUCUGAAAAAGACUUAAAUUUCUAAGUGAAGAACAUUCCAGAGUUCAUUUUAAGUGUUUAAAAAAAGUUUUACCUAAGCUUGGUGUUUUGUGGGUUUACUACCUUAUCAUUCUAAGUGACCAGGAAGGUUCAGAGAGUUACUGGAAAACUGUAACUGUGGCAUCUUGUUUCACAAGAGGUCUUUGAUUCAUUUAGGAACAUCCCAUCAGCUGAAACUUUAGAAUUGCAUCAUUAGGGGUAUUUAAAGGCUGGAAGGGGAUGUUGUAAAAACCAUUGGCAAGAACAGAUGUGAAAUGGAAGCUGGGUACCAAAUGGAAGCUUGCUUUGAGUCCCCUGGCUGGUAGAGGUACUGAAUGACCGCACCUGCUGGGUG